Carassius auratus (goldfish) is the source of this 1674-nucleotide long non-coding RNA. RefSeq lists it as uncharacterized. The record is from RefSeq and is a predicted model, not a curated record. NCBI's taxonomy places the organism in Eukaryota, Metazoa, Chordata, Actinopteri, Cypriniformes, Cyprinidae. The transcript has 5 exons.
ACAUGUCCUCUCCUGGUCCUCAUGUGUUCCUGCUGGUCAUCAGACUGGACGAAUAAUACACAGAGGAAAAGAAGAAGACCGUGAAAUGGAUUCUGGGGAACUUUGGAGAAGAAGCUGCUCGCCACACCAUCGUUCUGUUCACUCACGCAGAUUCACUGAGGAAUAGACCACUGAAGGAUCACAUAGAGGACAGUCCAGAUCUACAGUUAAUAAUCCGCUGUGGUGGCAGAUAUCAUGCAUUCCACAAUGAGGACAAAGCCAAUCAAACUCAAGUCAACAAACUGAAGAUGGAUAAAAUGGUGCAUAGAAAUUAAGGGAGCAACUCUGGUAGCAGCAGAAAGAAGUAAAGUAGAAGCUGUAUUAUUAACAAUAGUAGCACACUUAAAAAUUGUGCCGUUAAAUAACAGUAGGGGUGCCACUGAAGUACUGUUAAUUUACAGCUCUCAACCAUUAAUUUACAACUCUUUUAUUUUUUCAAGUGUUUUACCAUAUUUCAUCCAUGAAUAUUAACUCCACUCCCACUGCUUCAAACAAAAUGCGAGGUAUUUAAAUCGAUUUUGAAUGUGCUUGUUCAUUUUACUUACGGUUUUGAUUUAACGGUUGCGUGAACUCUUGGCGGUGCCGAUGAAAUACAUUCAUUGUGUCAGAUGUCCUGCAACUAAUCCUCAUUUGAUGUUCUUUAUUUAUCACUUACAGAAGUAAAUAUCUAAAUAUCCAGAUGUGCACAUUAACAUUAUCAUGAGUAAGUGAUAGUGAGUUCACUUGCUGAUUCCUGCAGAGGUUUGAUGGUAUUCAGGAGUCAGACCAAACCUGUGCCACAAUACGAGUAUAUUCUCUGAGCUUUCUAUGAGUUUGUGAAUGUUGAUCUGUGUGAAGAGAUCUUUCUUUUAAAAGAAGCAGCACAACAAGACAAACAGGUUUUCAGCCCAGGCUGCAUUUUUACAGUUACCAAAAGUUAGACAGAGCUGCGAAUGUAAGUCCAAGAUCCCUUUCCAGUGAAUCUUCAUCUUUUUCUAAAGGAUUGUCACUGAAGAAACAUCAAUGAUAAAAGAUGGCGCCUGUUGAUGAACUGCUUCUGAAGACUCUGGAUGAUCUGGACUCAAACAAACUACACAGGUUUAAAUGGCUCUUAAAGAAGAACCAUGCCUCUGUUUCAACUGCUGAUACUGAGAACGCAGAAUGUAUGACCAUAACAAGGUCAAUUUGAAAAGAGUUAUUAUUCAAUAUAUAAGAUGCUGUGUUUUUUAACGUCUAGAGCAACAGUCCUGCAGUGCUGAGACGAAAUUAUGAUUUCCAGUUUUGAAGAGCUUUUCACUUACAGUUCCAAGUGCUGAGAAGAAAUUACGAUUUCCAGUUUUGAAGAGUUUUCCACCUCCAAGUAUAAAUGGCUGAGAUAUUGAGAUUAAACAGUAUGCCUGUGAUCUCACGCUGGAUCCAAACACGGUUCAUCCGAACCUCUUGCUGUCUGAGAGGAACCGCAAGGCGACGCACGUGAGAGAUCGUCAGCCGUAUCGGGAUCAUCCGGAGAGAUUCGACUGGCAGCCGCAGGUUCUGAGUGUUCAGAGUCUGACUGGACGCUGUUACUGGGAGACUGAAUGGAGCACGAGGAUGUGGGUUGAGAUAGCAGUGACCUAUAAAGGAACCAGGUAUAAAGGAGCUGACAAUGACUUUUUG